UGCAACUCGACUCCAUGAAGCUGGAUUCGCUAGUAAUCGCGCAUCAGCCAUGGCGCGGUGAAUACGUUCCCGGGCCUUGUACACACCGCCCGUCACACCAUGAGAGUUGAGAAUACCCGAAGCCCAUGUCAAAGUGGUCGAAGGUAGGCUUGAUGAUUGGGGUGAAGUCGUAACAAGGUAGC
This 182-nucleotide ribosomal RNA is filed under the name uncultured bacterium. RNAcentral's name for it is "partial 16S ribosomal RNA". It matches the Rfam family "Bacterial small subunit ribosomal RNA", at positions 1306 to 1500 of the family's 1533-position model. The record is from RNAcentral.